UUCAUCAGGGCCCGUGCCCCCCCGCCCGGCCCAGACCCGAGCACAGGCGGGAACCGGCGGCGGCGACCCUCGGCCGUCCGGCGUCGCAACGAGCCUCAACCCUCUCUCUCUCUACCACCGUCCGGCGCUAGCGCCUCUCCCAGAUCCGGCCGCCGCGCGCCCGAAGAACCCCGCCCCCCCUCCUCGACGGACGCCCGGCGAGAUGCCGCGCGACCGCGACGAGCCGGCGGCCGUGCGCGUCUACACGGUCUGCGACGAGUCCAAGUACCUCGUCGUCCGGAACGUGCCGGCCCUCGGAUGCGGCGACGAGCUCGGCUCCGUGUUCGCGGCGUACGGCCCGCUGGAAGAGUGCAAGCCCAUGGACGCCGAGGACUGCGAGGAGUACACCGACGUCUACUUCAUCAAGUUCGCGCAGGUCAGCAACGCGAGGUUUGCAAAGAGGAAGUUGGACGAGUCUGUAUUUCUUGGCAACCGGCUGCAGGUUUCAUAUGCACCUCAGUUUGAAAGUCUUCUGGAUACCAAGGAGAAACUGGAAGUCAGGAGAAAUGAAGUCCUCAGACGAAUAAGAUCACCUGCUGGAAGCAGACCUGAAGGGCUAUCACAGUAUUCACCGGGUCAGGGAUCAUCUAGUGGGAACCCACACCAUCAUAUGAACUCCAACAAGAGGGAAUACAUGAAGACAAUGCCCGCUACUCAUAUCGAAGAUGAUCGUUUCAGCCAUGUGCCCUCUAAUAAGAAAAUCUGGGAAAGAAACUUUAAUCAGUUAAGCUGCAUUUUGACCAGAAAGCCAACAUUAAUGCACUAGCUCAUAUACAAAGUACCACCUGAGCAGGGCAAAAUCUCUACUACCUUUGUUAUCGACUAUUUCCCGUCCGAGUCGAUGAAUGCAACUGUAAAUCUAGUGAGGCAGAAGCUUGACAAGAUACAGUCCGGCGGCGACGCUCCCGAUGCUGCUGCCGCCGCAUCCAAGAAACCACGGGCCGAUAACCGCAGGCGUAUUUGAACCAUUGGAUGACACAGGUGAGGAGUAACCGUGACCCAAUCGCUUGCUUGUUAUGUGCGUUAUAAACGCACCGUCUUUCUCAUGACAGGUCAACUCAACACACUGUGAUGUGAAUCCGAAGACUUUCGCCGUUUGAUUUUUUAUUUUAUUUUUUGCUACUCCGAUUUAUUUAUUUGCUUACUCUAGAAAAUAUGUUUGUAAGUAAGAGUGUAAGACAUGGUCUCUUCUAGAAGCGAUGUGGUAGUAGCAACUCUUUUUUUUUUGGACAUAAUGUGGUGGUAGUAGCAACUUAAUUAUGCUGAUGUGGAUGCUGGUGGUAGCCAGACAGCUCUAGCAAGCUAGGCAUGUGUCUUUUGGCUGAGCGGUUGGUGUUGCCUGUGGUUGCAAUUUAAAACGGUGUCCUCUCUAGGAAUUUCAGAAGGAAAUAAUAAU
Molecule: RNA transcript, 1435 nt
Organism: Triticum aestivum (bread wheat)
Lineage: Eukaryota; Viridiplantae; Streptophyta; Magnoliopsida; Poales; Poaceae
Gene name: RNA-binding protein 48
Exons: 9
Source: RefSeq, a predicted model, not a curated record